Trichomycterus rosablanca is the source of this 661-nucleotide long non-coding RNA. RefSeq lists it as uncharacterized. The transcript is spliced from 3 exons. The record is from RefSeq and is a predicted model, not a curated record. Lineage: Eukaryota; Metazoa; Chordata; Actinopteri; Siluriformes; Trichomycteridae.
CGCAAAAUCUCGGACGCUCGGACUCGAACUGUUUGAUGUUCCAGGAUGUGGAAAUAUCGGCGCGACUCUGAGCUGAUCUGAACCGGGUCGGAACGCUCGCGGUUUGGAUCGGAUCUGAGGAGAAACUCCUGGGUUCGGAUCGGGUGUGGAAGUGCGUGGAAGCUUCAGCGACGGAUCAGCCGAGCGGUGAAGACUCGGAUCAGACCUGAACCUACAGGAUUAACACACAGCUCACACGAACCGAGACGAGCGACAGGCUGCAGCGGAACUCCAACCGCGCCAAGGCCGACGGAGGGAGUUUUUAAACGUCUGACGUCUUCAGAAGCCUCGAAUCCAGUCGGCACGGAGUAACAGCGACCGUCCAGUCGGACUUAAAACUGGUCGACGCUACUCAGCCGGACAUAAUAAAGCAUCACUGUGACCCAACAACAAUCAACCUGCCAAUCAGAACCAUAUCCCAGGAACUGGAACCAUCACUGUGCUUAAAGAACUACAUUUAGUCACGUUAGAAACCAGGUUCCAGUUAGAACUGUGAAUUGACACCCAGUAAAAUUGUCAAUCGACCAAUCAGAACCGUCUCUGUCUCCUGUGGACAACCAAAACGUCACUCUGAACCAUUGCUGUCCAUCUUAACCUGCCCAGUGACCCAUCAGUACUACAA